Long non-coding RNA from Loxodonta africana (African savanna elephant), 809 nucleotides. RefSeq lists it as uncharacterized. The record is from RefSeq and is a predicted model, not a curated record. NCBI's taxonomy places the organism in Eukaryota, Metazoa, Chordata, Mammalia, Proboscidea, Elephantidae. The transcript is spliced from 6 exons.
AGGAGGAUUCAACUCCCAUCAAGGAAGAACAGCCAAGAGCCGAGCGUAUAUUAUGGACCUGAGAUCCCUGCACUGAGAAGCUCCUAGAAGCAGGAGACUGAGAUAGAGAGAGGAAGCUGUAACCCUGAAGAUGCUUAAAUACAGACCAGAAGAGGAGUUUGGGGCUUGACACCUGACAUCUUAACACCAGUUCCUGUUUCUUGAGGAAGGAAGAGGUAAAAUAAAUCAGCGUUUACUGUGUCCUUCUCCAUCCCCGGAAGUCCUGAUGAAGACCCUCUCAGAGAUGCAGCACACACAGAAUCCCAGCUGGAUUACAGACUUGAACCUGAAGACCUUAUGCAGAAUGACAAUUUAUGAACCACUAAGCUCAGUACUAAAGCAGCUUAAAUACAGACCAGAAGAGGAGUUUGGGGCUUGACACCUGACAUCUUAACACCAGUUCCUGUUUCUUGAGGAAGGAAGAGGUAAAAUAAAUCAGCGUUUACUGUGUCCUUCUCCAUCCCCGGAAGUCCUGAUGAAGACCCUCUCAGCUUCUACUUGAACGUGAAUAUGAGCAACUGAUCAUCUGUUCUGAAGUCAGCCCCUGGCCUGAUUCUGACUCAUGGUAUUGACCUUCUCCAUCAUCACCUUCCACAAAUUUGAUUCCUAUCUAUUCUGCCUGGAAUGGUUCACGAGUAUAGUCACCAUUUAUGUUCCUGACGAAAGCAGGUGAAGGCAUUCGUGGAGAGAGGCAAUUUCCAUGCGUGCAGGCAAAGUGUGUGCUGAGAUGAUGAGUUGCUGGAGACCAGGGUGGACUCUUAAGACCCAGA